GAAGCUCAAGAACAAAAACCCUCCUUAAACCCUAACGCGAAGAAGAUCGACAUGAAUAGAUCUCUUGCAACAAGUAUUUAUCGCUGUUCGUUUAUGCUGAAUCCUUACCCUGCUACCUCUUCAUUUUGGCCCAGCUAUAGGCGUUUCACAUCCAAAAGCUCUAAUCAACCUCCUGCUGAUAGCAACGACAACCACCUUCAAGACGAAGACGAUAUCAGCAAUAAAGCGCUGAAAAAGCAGAUAGAUAAGUUUUUUGAAGGAGAUGAAGAAGCAUUCCCAUCGAUAUUUGAAGCCAUAUUGAAAAGAAAAUUGGCUGGAAAAAGUGAAGAAUCUGAUAAGGAAUUGAUGAAUGAACUUCAGGC
This 362-nucleotide unclassified non-coding RNA is filed under the name Hevea brasiliensis (rubber tree). Lineage: Eukaryota; Viridiplantae; Streptophyta; Magnoliopsida; Malpighiales; Euphorbiaceae. The record is from RNAcentral.